GCGGGACUAGCUCAGGAUGUGAAUCUGCGCUUUUAUGGCGCCGAAUUGUGGUCUAUAGACUUUAACAUUAUCUGCCGGGCCAAGUUCCUUGGAAAAGGACAGCUGAGAGGGUGAGACUCCCGUCCGCCUGGUAGAAUGAGUUUUUGUCAACGAGUCGAGUUGUUUGGGAUUGCAGCUCUAAUUUGGUGGUAAAUUCCAUCUAAAGCUAAAUAUUGGUGGGAGACCGAUAGCGUACAAGUACCGUGAGGGAAAGAUGCAAAGAACUUUGAAAAGAGAGUUAAAGAGUACCUGAAAUUGCUGAAACGGAAGCGAAGGAAACCAGUGUUUGUUGGUUCAUAUUUCCCUGGCCACUUGUGGUUUGGGCGCUGUGAGCUUGCGUGGGUUUGCUUUGGUUGAUCCCUUUGGAAGAGCGCAGUCAGAGUUGAUGUCUGUUGCUAGCACUGGGUUUGACUAAUGCAGACGAAAUGGUUUUCUUUACCCCGUCUUGAAACACGGACCAAGGAGUCUAACAUAUGUGCGAGUACAGGGGUGUCAAACCCCGGUGCGUAAUGAAAGUGACAGUGGUUGGAUAUUUUGCACAAUCCGCCGGCCUCAAUCCUUCGGGAGAACGGUCUGAGUGUGAGCAUACAUGUUGGGACCCGAAAGAUGGUGAACUAUGCCU
This 661-nucleotide ribosomal RNA is filed under the name Pseudo-nitzschia sp. A HAB-2017. RNAcentral's name for it is "eukaryotic LSU rRNA". It matches the Rfam family "Eukaryotic large subunit ribosomal RNA", at positions 98 to 838 of the family's 3401-position model. The record is from RNAcentral. Lineage: Eukaryota; Bacillariophyta; Bacillariophyceae; Bacillariales; Bacillariaceae.